RNAcentral lists this long non-coding RNA (1606 nucleotides) under Sus scrofa (pig). RNAcentral describes it as "lncRNA (ENSSSCG00000062950.1)". Lineage: Eukaryota; Metazoa; Chordata; Mammalia; Artiodactyla; Suidae. The record is from RNAcentral.
AAUCAGUGGUUUAACACUAAUUUCUAAUCAGAUCCUACAGAAAGGAACAGCCCGCACGGCAGCUGUACUUUUCCCAGGGUUAAUUACCUUUCACUGCUCUCUGCUAAUGAGUCAGCUGUUCCUGUCAGCGCACACAGCCCUGGUUCAUCUGGAGCCCUCGCUGUGGACAAACAGCGGAUGACAGUCCUAUUUACAUACGGGGGCGUUUGUGGUGCAAAGAUUUCCAAAGCAUUUUUUUUUUUUUUUUUUUGGAAAUCCCUUAACUUUCAUGUGUUUCUAUGCUAAAAAUAUUCUUACAAAUAAGAUUCCACUUGGUCACCUCUUCUUUUCUCCCCCCGCCACUGGCUUCACCACCAGAAGAUGGAAAAUGCCAAGUCCUUGAAAGAGGCAAACUUCAUGGCCUCCACCGAAAGCUUUGUCUUCCUGAUUCCUCGGCACUGCAACAAUGACCCUGUAGGAAUCAGGCAAGACUCAAAAGUGGGCUACCUCCUUCCCUGGUAAAAAGAUGCAUUUUGGAAAAUUAAUUCGCGCGUAGAAAAUAAUCUAAGGUAGAAGGACACAAAACAUAUCUUAGAUUUAUUUGUACAUGAAAAGGGAAUUAGUAAAUUGAGUUUCUGAAAAAAAAUUAGACUUGAAAACUAUGCUCUCACCUAAAAUAUCUAGGUCAUCAUGGGAAUGUGUAUAUAUAUUUAUUUAUAUGAUGUGUAUGUGUAUAUAUGUGUGUGUCUAUAUACACGCAUAUGACUUAUUAUCCAAUUAAUAGCUCUGCCACCCAGAUAACUGUUCUGCCCUCUAUCCCACGGUGCAGACACGUGUGCCCUGGCAUGUUUUUGAACAUUGUGGCCCAGAAGUGUACACACCUCUUCCCCUUUUUACUCCAGAGAGAACUGGAAGGUGCUCACAAGCAGUAAAGUACCCGCUGACCCCCCUCGACAGCCUCCCGAGCGCCUCCGAAAGGCGGAUACCUUCCCCUGAACAUUUCCUGCUCUAACUUAGGUCAGUGGCUCUCAGAUUCUAAAAUGCACCUGGAUCACCUGGUGUCUUGUGAAAAUGCAGGUCCUGAGUUGCUAAUGAGGGUCCAGGGGUUCCGGUCGCUCCAUGGACCACACCCUGAACAGCAAGUGUCAGAGUUGUGACACUUCAGCCAGCGCCAGAAUCACCUGCAGUGUGGUCUGGAGUGGGGUUUGGGAGUGUACCUUUCUGACACGUGCCCAGGUGACACAGGUGCUGACGGUUCUGGGGCUGCACUUCGAGAAGCCUUGCCUGAGAUAAUCACGGAUGCUUGCUUUGAAGAAUGCCAAUCCAAAGGCUAAACGGUCUGCAUCCACAUGGAACAGAGGCAGUUCCACUCUAUUCUAGCCUACCCAUUUGCUCUGUCUUUACUACUUUACGGCAGAAAGGAACAGAUUAAAAAGUGAGUGUUCUGAAACACAAACUUACUACAUAGUAUUCCAGGAAAGCUAGGAGAAUAUGGCUCCAUGUAAGAAAGAGCAGGAAGCCAAUAAGAACAGUUUUAAAGGAAUCAAAGCCCCUUCCGAACCCUCACCACCUCUUAUUUGGUCUUGCAAUCCCACUGAUAAUUAUUUAACAAAGCUAUUUUAAAGAG